CGUGAAUUGUACACUUAUAGAAAUAAAAUCGCUUAAGAGACAAAGUUGAAUUCAAUGAAUGUUAUUAUAACCAUUUAAUGCCAAACCAUAAUACCUAUCACAAUGAACACACUUAAAGAUAAGCAUGAAUAGUUUCUAGAUUAAUCAUCCUAUUUUGAACAAACUAAACUCAAAUGAAAUAAUGAAACAGUGAUAAUAGAUCAAAAAUUAAAAGAAACAGGACAUCCCCUCCAAAUACUCUCCAUUAACACCAUUUUCUUAGAAAAUUUGACGAUAGCUUCCAAGCUUUAUUUCUUCCAACCAUAAACCUACAUCCUGACAAAACAAGAGGAGUAACAAAAUGUCAGUCAUUGUUGCAUUCCCUCGUGGACGUAUUUUAUUCCUCAACCUCGUGUUUUUUCGUCUCCCUGUUAGAGAUUUGAGUAAAUGUCCAUUUAGAAGCUCUAAUUAACAAGGAAAGAAACAAAAAUAGAUAUACCAUCUAAUGCAUCUAAUAUCAGAUGCUGCUUACUUUUAGAGGCAAUGCACUAAGCCCAAAGUCAGAAACUUGUAAAAUGAUCCAAAUACAUACAAAGCACAAAUAUGAAAACCACCGACUUGUAGUGCUUGGUUUAGUCAGGCUCAACGCGAGGGACUGCACCUUGUGGCGCGAGGUUGGGGUUUGGCAUUGGGAUUUGUCCAGCAAGCUCCUGUCCCCCGAGCUACAUGUUUUGUCCUCCUCUUUCCAACUUGGCGCAUAAGCCUAAAAUUCUAGAUAUUUCCUUGAUAUAUAAUGUAAAAUGGAUGAAACAACUCAUGAGUCUUGUAUUACUAAGCUAGUUACUUUGUAUGUAUGAGGUGUUACAAAAUGAUCUUGUAGAUAUUGUGGACCAAAACUUGACUCUAGAAGGUAAUAAUAAAAUUGACAGACUUUGGUGAAUGGUUGAGACAUAAAGAAUUUACUGUUAAAUCAACAUGGAACUACAUAAAGACACAUUGAACAUGGGAAUGAUAUGUAUAUAUUCUAUAUUUGGAUAACUAAUCAUGCCAUUCAAAUAUCUUUCUCUAUGUGAAGAGCAUGACAAUUUAAGAUUUCAAUUGACGAUAAGUUGUUAUUAAAGUGUAGGUGUUGCACUGAUUCAAAUUAGGUUUUUAUGAAAUUGCCAACAGUUUGCAGAUAAAGUAAAGUUUGAAAAUAUAAAUUGUUGAACACAAAUUCAUCAAUAUACAAGAAGAAGGGUUUGAAGCAAAGCAAAAUUAUAUGUUUCAUUGCUAAUUUUAAGCAGUAACAGGAGAGAGCUAACCACCAUGACUGAUAUAUCAAAUUUUUGAUCAAUCAACUAAACCCCCACCCUUAAGUCAGACGAAAAUGGGAAAAAGUACUUGAAUACGAGUAGUGGCAUACGAAAAUGGAUUCAAGAAGCAUAGCAAUGUCUCUCCUCAUCUAUCUCGCCACCAUUUCGAAUUUGAAAAUAAAAAAUUCCUCCCAGGACAGAGGAAUAUGCUUGAUUCUCAUACCAAUCCAACCAAUUGCUAUUGGAAUUGUUGACGUCGCUCGCCACUGCCGUUUAGAAUCGAUUGUUGCCGCUCGAAUUGCUGAAGACGUCGUUUGGCUGCUGCGAAAUUGUCAUCUGCUUCUAAGAUGAAGCUUGUGAAC
RNAcentral lists this long non-coding RNA (1636 nucleotides) under Solanum tuberosum (potato). RNAcentral describes it as "long non-coding RNA (STUB_LNC002030)". The record is from RNAcentral. Lineage: Eukaryota; Viridiplantae; Streptophyta; Magnoliopsida; Solanales; Solanaceae.